GCCCGGGUGGCGGAAUUGGUAGACGCGUGCGUUUCAGGGGCGUAUGCUGGCAACAGCGUGGGGGUUCGAGUCCCCCCCCGGGCACCA
Molecule: transfer RNA, 87 nt
Filed under: Rhodohalobacter mucosus
Lineage: Bacteria; Pseudomonadati; Balneolota; Balneolia; Balneolales; Balneolaceae
Description: Gracilimonas sp. 8A47 tRNA-Leu
Rfam family: tRNA
About the family: Transfer RNA (tRNA) molecules are approximately 80 nucleotides in length.
Source: RNAcentral